RNAcentral lists this ribosomal RNA (583 nucleotides) under uncultured bacterium. RNAcentral describes it as "partial 16S ribosomal RNA". It matches the Rfam family "Bacterial small subunit ribosomal RNA", at positions 355 to 1375 of the family's 1533-position model. The record is from RNAcentral.
CUAAGAAUAUUCCGCAAUGGACGGAAGUCUGACGGAGCGACGCCGCGUGGAUGACGAAGGCCGAAAGGUUGUAAAGUUCUUUUGCUGGGGAAGAAUAACCGCAGGAGGGAAUGCCUGUGGGAUGACAAGAACCGGCGAAUAAGCCCCGGCCAACUACGUGCCAGCAGCCGCGGUAACACGUAGGGGGCGAGCGUUGUUCGGAAUUACUGGGCGUAAAGGGCAUGUAGGCGGCUUGGAAAGCCUGGCGUGAAAGUCUGCAGCUUAACUGCAGGGGUGCGCUGGGAACUGCUGAGCUUGAGUGACGGAGAGGGAGCUGGAAUUCCUGGUGUAGGGGUGAAAUCUGUAGAUACCAGGAAGAACACCGAUGGCGAAGGCAAGCUCCUGGCCGAUGACUGACGCUGAGGUGCGAAAGUGUGGGGAUCAAACAGGAUUAGAUACCCUGGUAGUCCACACAGUCAACGAUGUGCACUAGGUGCUGGGGCGGUAGCUUCGGUGCCGGAGCGAACGUGGUAAGUGCACCGCCUGGGGAGUAUGCUCGCAAGGGUGAAACUUAAAUGAAUUGACGGGGUCAUAGCUGUUUCCU